Long non-coding RNA from Gordionus sp. m RMFG-2023, 243 nucleotides. RefSeq lists it as uncharacterized. The transcript is spliced from 3 exons. Lineage: Eukaryota; Metazoa; Nematomorpha; Gordioida; Chordodea; Parachordodidae. The record is from RefSeq and is a predicted model, not a curated record.
UGUAUGAUGAUCUAUUUGAGUUUUCUAAUCUAUCUUUCAGGCAAGAACAAUCAGUUUGCCUAAAACUGAAAAAAUAACAAAGCAAACAAUUCGUGUUGUACAGUGGUGGAUAUGCCCACUAGGAGAAAAUAUGAAGUUCAAGAUGUUAGGGAAAUAAUUUUGAAUUAAUAAUAUUAAAGAAGAUGCUAUGGCAUCAAAGGAAAUAAAAAUAAUUUUAUCUAGUUAUCAUAUAAGAUAUGGGAG